AUUCAUGUUUUAUUUUUGAAUUUGCGGGAGAUUAUUGAUGGAGGACCUCCCGUUCCAAAAGAAAAAAACGUUGUAGAGGACCUCCCCUCGACGCUCGCGCGGCUGGUCGCCAGCCACACGCCCGCACCCCUGCGCCAAACCUAGCCGCCACCGGACGGCCGGAGCUCUUCGGUCGCCACGCCGCCGGAUCGGAAGGAGGAGGCUACGCCGACACGGGCGCACUGCGGCACGCUGGCGAGACUGCCCCCAGCCGCCCACCGCGGGAGGCCAUCCGUCGUCGCCCGUCGCGACGGUCCUCCGCCUCUCGUCGGCUCCUCCCUCUCCCGUCGCCUGUCCAGGAGGCACUCCGCGGAUCCACGCCGACUGCAGCGAGCGCGCGGACUUCCGCCGGACAAGCCUAUUGGUAAUCUUCCAUAUUGUGGAUUUGCCAACAUUGAUCCAAUUGACAUGGAUGCUCCUUAACAAUAUGGGCUGGCAUUGUUUUCAGAUCCACAUGUGCAUCAAGCCGUACUAGUCAUCAAGAAUUCCCCCAAGUCUCCUUGGCAUUCUAUGUGUUGGGAUGCGUCCUGUUGGUAUUGCUAUAAGGAUGGAGAGGGAGGACAGUUCAAAGCUUGUGAGGUUGGUGGGAGGAAUUCCUUUCGCAGGAGAGGGGCAGCCGCAUUGUGCAUUACUACUGGAAGAUGCCACGGGUUAUGGGUACGGAGCGGAGGUUGAGUCACAUGCUCUAGGCGUGUCAAAGGACUUCCAUGGGCUGCAGGGAUGCUGUGGUGUUGAUGGUGGGCACUGGGCAGGUGAUGUUUGCAUGAAAGUUGCAGUUGCGCCGUGAGGUGGUGGAUUGGCUCGAUUCCUUCCUUCCAGCGAAGCCCCUCGCCUCAAGCAUGUCAACAGAGUAUCUCAUGUUGUUGAAGGCAACAGCAAGCGGUGCAAAAGGGAGGACCAUUCCCUUCCUACCACUGUCACCUGGGGCGGCAGAAUUUCUCCUUGACCUCGAGUUGUUGAUGUUCCCUACAAGAGAAGUUUGGCC
Molecule: long non-coding RNA, 1024 nt
Organism: Triticum urartu
Lineage: Eukaryota; Viridiplantae; Streptophyta; Magnoliopsida; Poales; Poaceae
Source: RefSeq, a predicted model, not a curated record